CAAUAGCGUAUAUUAAAGCUGUUGCGGUUAAAAAGCUCGUAGUUGGAUUUCUGUCAAGGACAACUGGUCCGCCCUCCGGGUGAGCACAUAGUUUGGUCUUGGCAUCUUGCUGGAAACUGUUGCUGCGCUUGGUUGUGUGGUGCAGCUUUCAGCACUUUCACUUUGAGGAGAUUGGAGUGUUUCAAGCAGGCACAUGCCUUUGGACACAGUAGCAUGGAAUAAUUAGAUUGGGCUUUUGCUCCAACUUGUUGGUUCCUGGAGCUGAGGUGAGAAUCAAUGGGGAUUGUUGGGGGCAUCCGAAUUUAGCCGUCAGAGGUGAAAUUCUUGGAUCUGCUAAAGACGGACAACUGCGAAAGCGUUUGCCCAGGAUGUUUUCAUUG
RNAcentral lists this ribosomal RNA (380 nucleotides) under uncultured eukaryote. RNAcentral describes it as "partial 18S ribosomal RNA". It matches the Rfam family "Eukaryotic small subunit ribosomal RNA", at positions 592 to 975 of the family's 1831-position model. The record is from RNAcentral.